RNAcentral lists this long non-coding RNA (2828 nucleotides) under Homo sapiens (human). Its description in RNAcentral is "non-protein coding SOX1-OT:22". The record is from RNAcentral. Lineage: Eukaryota; Metazoa; Chordata; Mammalia; Primates; Hominidae.
GAAAAUAACAAAUUCAGACUCAACUGGUGACAGCUUUUGGCUAUAGAGAAUGAAACUGCUUCCCUUUGGCGGUGGAACUCUUAAACUUCGAAGAGUGAAAGAAUACAAUGAAAUAAAAUGCCAUAAGAUCACUGGAUUUUUCAGAAAAAGGAAGACCCCAAAUUACUCCCAAAAUGAGGCUUUGUAAAUUCUUGUUAAAAAUCUUUAAAUCUCGAAUUUCCCCCUACAACAUCUGAUGAGUGCUUUAAGAGCAAACGAGCAAAUCCCACCUCGAGAAUCAACAAACCCAAGCUCUGGCCAAGGCUCUCCCCGCGUUUUCUUCUCGUGACCUGGGGAAUGUCCCGCCCCAUCGCUCACCUGGCUCUUGUCAUCUCGCUCAUCUUGAAGUGACCCGUGGACAAUGCUGCUCCCUGCCGCAGCUCCGCCGGUCACUCAGGCAGAACGGGGUAUGCAAAUGGCCUGGAGAGGCCGAGGCCGAACACUGCGCCCAUUGUCCCGGGCGCUCAAAGCGCCGAGCAGCUGCGCAGACUUUCUGGGCUCGGACCCUCGGCCGCCACGCUAAUGUCAUCAUUGCAAAACAUCAGAUUUUGAGAACUAUGCAGUCUGAAUUCAUUAGCAGCCUUCUCGGCGAAGGUUCUUUUCCCCGUGACAAGUUUCAAAGUCCAGACCCCCUCCAACGUUGGUAGGGGUAGGAAGAGGAGGAGGGGCCCAGGGAGGGGGGUCUUUCGCAAGUGGGGCCUCGGGGGAUCCCUGCUCUCCUUCUGGUGCAUUCCGCAACUUUAAAAGCCUUCCUUGGGGUUCUGAGCGCGGAUGUCUGACUUGAAUGACCUGAGAUUUGGACAUAUUCCCGUUUUCUCCCAAGAGUUGCUUUAAUGUUGCGAGUUUAAAUUCACUGAAAGAGGCCCAGAUACCAAGUCGAGUGAAUUUCAUAGACAUCAUCUUCUGUUUUAAUGAUCGCGGCAGUGAUCGUUUCUGAAGUCAUACCCUUUAGGGUGAACUCACAACAAUGCAUGUCAGAGAGGCUGCGCGCCCUAAAGCAAAACAGUUAAAACAUCAGGCCACGCUCCUCAAACUGCAGGAUUGCAAGCAGCUCACAAACUUCCAGUCCCCACCCCAAGGACUCCAAGCUGCUGUCCCCUCUCUGCCGCAUCUGAGGCUGGGAAAACUUCCUAGGAGAAGGCAAGAGAAAGCCACCAGACCAGAGCCGAGGACUAAACUUUAAGGUCGAAGACGGCAGAGGGGCAGGUUCUCCCCUGCACACCCCAAGGCCUCUCCUGCACCCGCGAGGCCUUCCUUGAGCGCCCAGGCCCCCGAAAUGCCUGCCCUCCUUCUGACAAAAGGAGGGGGUAGGAUGUGAAGGGGUAGUGCAACCAACAAUGUUUUUGUAAACACAACAACAGGGAAAUACAUGGAGGAAAUCUAUUUAUUGGGUGUGUCAUUUUUGGUGGGGGGCGGGAUUGAAAGUGGCGCCAUCUAGACCCAGGAAAAAGCUACGGGGUGGGCGGGGUAAGCGGGGGACUCUUGGUAAAUGUGGAUAAUUUUGAACUGGGACACCAUUUUGUUUCCUUCCUAGAGCAUUGUAUGAUGUGGCCUGAAGGCUCUGGAAAGUCACAGAUCACACCCAGCAGGAGGUUCUUCAUGUGUGCCAGCCCCUGGCUGGGCCUGGGCAGCCUUGCCCCCAUCCUCUGGCCCCAGCUCCUGCCACCCCACCUGCAGACAAGGCUGCCAAAGGCUAGGGACAGGGCUCCAAGCUAGAGGCCGGCUUUUUGGAGAUGUGGCUGUGGGAGGGGAAUCCCAGGAAGUUGCAUAGAGAGGGAGUUUUUGCCAGCCUGGGUCACUGAUGGCCAGUCCGGGUCACUGAUGUCUCCCCAGGGGCAAGGGGACAGUGCCUGGCUAAUUGUGGGUUUCAAAAUCUGUCUGUUGAGGGGAUGCAGAGGUCAUCAUUGGGGGGUGAAGCUGAUGGUCCACAGAAGCUCUGGGCACAGGUUGGACCUCUUUCCUGCACAAAGAACCCUCCAGGGUGCCCAGUGGUUCUGGCCAGCGCCGGAGCCAGUGACGGUUGGCUUGUUCUGGCCUUCCUCCCCUUCUCACACAUGCAUUCUCUUGCACACGUGUCACACACAUUCCUACACACUCACACAAAUUCUCACACAAAUUCCCAGAAUCAAUCUCCCACAUACACAUCCAAGUCACACACUCAUUCUUACAUGCGAUUCACAGAUUCACACGAUUCACAGAUGCAACAGACUCACAGGCAUUCACUCUUACAUAUGACACAGUUGCACACUUGCACACACACACACACACACACACGCACUGCAAUCCCCUUGCAUCUCCACAGUGUCGAAGGCUGGCUGAACACCAAGGUGGCUCUUGGUGGCAGGACUUCUCAUGGGAGGGAAAGUCACAUAGCUGGAAGGUUACUAGCUUAGGGACAUAAUUUCCUUAUUGACUAUAAUCUCCUUAUAGAAAUUCAACAACUAUAGCAGAAAAUGGAGAAUGAGGACAUUUUAUUUCUCAAAGUCAACAGUUCCUUUUCUCCUGCACCUUCGGAGCAGGCUCCUGCCUGAGGCUGCUGAGGUGCUCUGGGUUCUCGCUGUUUGUUUUCAGCAUCCAGGUUCAGGCUUUUCUCAGUGCAUUUUCCUCGGCUGCCCUUGGACUUGUGUUGUCCGGGGUGGUGGCCACUGGCCCCCAGUGGCUACUGAGCAGGGAGAGCAGGGCCCCUCUGUGGUGAGGCGUGCUGCUCAGUGUAAAACACACACGAGAUUUUCCAGAUGCAGUACUCAAAAGCAUGUGAAACUCCUCAGUCAUCACUUAAAAUAUUGAUC